AAACUUAAGUUAUAUUCAAACUAGGGCCUUUGAAAGGCC
RNAcentral lists this transfer RNA (39 nucleotides) under Elaphe hodgsoni. RNAcentral's name for it is "partial tRNA-Trp". The record is from RNAcentral. Lineage: Eukaryota; Metazoa; Chordata; Lepidosauria; Squamata; Colubridae.